RNAcentral lists this ribosomal RNA (497 nucleotides) under uncultured bacterium. RNAcentral describes it as "partial 16S ribosomal RNA". It matches the Rfam family "Bacterial small subunit ribosomal RNA", at positions 28 to 507 of the family's 1533-position model. The record is from RNAcentral.
GAUGAACGCUGGCGGCGUGCCUAAUACAUGCAAGUCGAGCGAACAGAUAAGGAGCUUGCUCCUUUGACGUUAGCGGCGGACGGGUGAGUAACACGUGGGUAACCUACCUAUAAGACUGGAAUAACUCCGGGAAACCGGGGCUAAUGCCGGAUAACAUGUUGAACCGCAUGGUUCUACAGUGAAAGGCGGCUUUGCUGUCACUUAUAGAUGGACCCGCGCCGUAUUAGCUAGUUGGUGAGGUAACGGCUCACCAAGGCAACGAUACGUAGCCGACCUGAGAGGGUGAUCCGCCACACUGGAACUGAGACACGGUCCAGACUCCUACGGGAGGCAGCAGUAGGGAAUCUUCCGCAAUGGGCGAAAGCCUGACGGAGCAACGCCGCGUGAGUGAUGAAGGUCUUCGGAUCGUAAAACUCUGUUAUUAGGGAAGAACAAAUGCGUAAGUAACUGUGCGCGUCUUGACGGUACCUAAUCAGAAAGCCACGGCUAACUACGUG